Molecule: ribosomal RNA, 506 nt
Filed under: uncultured bacterium
Lineage: Bacteria
Description: partial 16S ribosomal RNA
Rfam family: Bacterial small subunit ribosomal RNA
Source: RNAcentral
AGUGAACGCUGGCGGUAGGCCUAACACAUGCAAGUCGAACGGCAGCACAGAGGAGCUUGCUCCUUGGGUGGCGAGUGGCGGACGGGUGAGGAAUACAUCGGAAUCUACUCUGUCGUGGGGGAUAACGUAGGGAAACUUACGCUAAUACCGCAUACGACCUACGGGUGAAAGCAGGGGAUCUUCGGACCUUGCGCGAUUGAGUGAGCCGAUGUCGGAUUAGCUAGUUGGCGGGGUAAAGGCCCACCAAGGCGACGAUCCGUAGCUGGUCUGGGAGGAUGAUCAGCCACACUGGAACUGAGACACGGUCCAGACUCCUACGGGAGGCAGCAGUGGGGAAUAUUGGACAAUGGGCGCAAGCCUGAUCCAGCCAUACCGCGUGGGUGAAGAAGGCCUUCGGGUUGUAAAGCCCUUUUGUUGGGAAAGAAAUCCAUCUGGUUAAUACCCGGGUGGGAUGACGGUACCCAAAGAAUAAGCACCGGCUAACUUCGUGCCAGCAGCCGCAGUAA